RNAcentral lists this ribosomal RNA (253 nucleotides) under uncultured bacterium. RNAcentral's name for it is "partial 16S ribosomal RNA". It matches the Rfam family "Bacterial small subunit ribosomal RNA", at positions 524 to 776 of the family's 1533-position model. The record is from RNAcentral.
UACGGAAGGUCCAGGCGUUAUCCGGAUUUAUUGGGUUUAAAGGGAGCGCAGGCGGCGGCGUAAGUCAGUUGUGAAAUCGUGCGGCUUAACCGUGCAAUUGCAGUUGAUACUGCGUCGCUUGAGUGCACACAGGGAUGUUGGAAUUCAUGGUGUAGCGGUGAAAUGCUUAGAUAUCAUGAAGAACUCCGAUCGCGAAGGCAUAUGUCCGGAGUGCAACUGACGCUGAGGCUCGAAAGUGUGGGUAUCAAACGGG